GUUACCUACGGGAGGCAGCAGUGAGGAAUAUUGGUCAAUGGGAGAGAUCCUGAACCAGCCAAGCCGCGUGAGGGAAGACGGCCCUAUGGGUUGUAAACCUCUUUUGUCGGAGAACAAAACCCGGGACGAGUCCCGGACUGCGUGUAUCCGAAGAAAAAGCAUCGGCUAACUCCGUGCCAGCAGCCGCGGUAAUACGGAGGAUGCGAGCGUUAUCCGGAUUUAUUGGGUUUAAAGGGUGCGUAGGCGGCCUGCUAAGUCUGGAGUGAAAGGUACCGGCUCAACCGGUACAGGCUCUGGAAACUGGC
This 305-nucleotide ribosomal RNA is filed under the name uncultured bacterium. RNAcentral's name for it is "bacterial SSU rRNA". It matches the Rfam family "Bacterial small subunit ribosomal RNA", at positions 334 to 637 of the family's 1533-position model. The record is from RNAcentral.